This 1357-nucleotide long non-coding RNA is filed under the name Anas platyrhynchos platyrhynchos (common mallard). RNAcentral describes it as "lncRNA (ENSAPLG00000023359.1)". The record is from RNAcentral. Lineage: Eukaryota; Metazoa; Chordata; Aves; Anseriformes; Anatidae.
GGCUCCCCUCGGUCCUACAAGGAGCGCUGGAGGUGCUGCUCGGCCAGGAGCCUUUGCACCUCUGCUUCGCGUGGGAGGCGCCUUCAGCCUGCAGGGCAGCGAGAGGAAGGGUUUGUUCCUCCCGAGCGAGGACCCAGCUCCGGCCAGAGGGACCGGCCCCGUGCGGGAAGGAUGAAGUCAUCCCUGUGCCGCCGGCCCUAUUUGUCUGUCGCCGGCGGGGCGCAGGACGGGGCCCUAAAUACAGCUCCCCUGUCACCCGCGGGCUCGGCGAGGGGCUCACGGGGUCCCAAAAGGCAUCCGAUGGGCGUAGAGGGUCAGAGGGACUGCCCUUGGGCACGGCCCGAGCGAUCCCGCGUGCUUCUUGCCCUGGGUUUGGGCCACGGGGAGGCUAAGGGAACGCGGAGUUCAUCCCAGGCCUCCUCGCCGUGCCUCUCCUGCUCACACCCCGGCCCCUCCAUCCUGCGGGAGCCCUUCCCGGUGACUCAGCCGCCCUCUUAACUCUUGCCUCCCGGCCCCGGGUGCUUUCAGGUGCCGGCAGCCCGCGGGGCUCACGUUUUCCUCUGCCCUGCUGUGGCUGCUGCAGGGGGGGGUGCAGGAGCGCUGCCAGGCUCCCCGCCGCUGGCACCCAGCUCGCUGCCAGGCUGACGGGGCUGCGCCUUCCCCGCCUCCAGGUCUAUCUCAGGAAGGAUGUGGACGGGGAGGAUGACAAGCAGGAGGCUGCGAGCCCCCACUCCGGCGGGUUCUGCUCCCCGCUGGACAGAGGGUCCCCCUUGGAGGCGCUGGCACCCCAUAAAGACAGCCCCGGGAGCAAGGAGCCGGCGGCCCCCAGGAGCGUGGGGCGAAGCGUGCCGGGGGCACCCACCCUCCCGGACCCCAGCCCCCUGCUCGCCCAGUUCAACCGGGAGAUGCUGCAGGCGGAGGGCUGGGUGCGAGGCAAGCUGCGGGACCUGAAGGACGGCUGCGAGCUGCAGGGCUGGGAGCAGGUGGCGCAGGCCCUGCAGAGGGAGAUGAAGGACUUCGACAACACCCUCAUCAAGCUCAGCCAGAUGGGCGAGCAGCUGGCGGACAGGCCCAGCCCCGGCGGCGAGGCGGUGCGGAGGCAGCUGCAGGCGCUGCGGGAGCAGUGGCAGCUCCUGAAGCAGACGGCCGCCAGCCAGAGCAGGGCCCUGGGGGGGCUGCGCAGCCUGCAGGACUUCAGCAGGAAGGCGGAGAGCCUGGAGGCGUGGAUCCGCAGCAAGGAGGAGAAGCCCUGCCUGGCGGCACUCCUGCAGGAAAGCCCGGAGAAGAUCCAGCUCACCCGCCGCAUCCUCGACUUGAAGCAGGUGGGCACAGCUCGGCUCCAUCUCGCAGCCCGUGC